UGAGGAGAGCUGUGAUUAAGGCUGACUGCACACCUCGGGUUUUUGCCAGCCUGGGGCUCAGGUAGUUAUUGGGAUGUCAUCUCAAUUGGAGGCUCUCAAUGGGCGGGUUGCUUUCUGAACCAGACAGCUCAGCAGAAUGGAGGGCGGGGGGCGACUGGGAGGCAUCACUCGGCCAGAAUUCUUUUGCAUGUCGUCUGCUGCUGUCUCCGAUAAGUCCAACUGUUAAGACCCUGAGAAGUUCAUCGGGAUCCAGCCCUAUCUGGAAUCCAGCUUUUUGUCUCCUAAAGGAAUUGGCCCAUGUGACACGGAGGCUGCUGGUUGCUAAGUUGGAAACAAGGACAAACCGAUGGGAUAAGAGCUUGCCAAAAGAUGAUUAGAUUAAAAUGAGGCCAUCAGAGGGUGUCCUUAUGAGAAGAGGAAACUCAGACACACAGACAGGCAGCCAUCUGCAAACCAAGAGAAGAGGCCUCAGGAGAAACCAAGCCUGCCCACAUCUUGAUCUUGGACAUCUAGCCUCCAGAAACCCUGAGAAUAUAAGUUCUUGGAAAUCCAACAUACUGCGUAAUUGAAGAGGCAAGAGAAACCGGACCUGAGGAUCCUAUCUGAAUAAGCUGACGUUCUUCCAGGAUUGAAAGAGCAUCUAUCAUCCUAACACUGCUUCUGUUCCUUCAAAAUCUGGCUUGAAUUUUACCUCCUUGGAGUUCAGUUCUGAAUACAUAUCCUACACCUUUAGAAUGAAAUCUUCACCACGUCCAAUUUUUUUCUCUUACAUUAUCAGACAGGAUUAUAUUUGCUUGUCCUUAAUCGUUCUUUAGUUUCUACAAAUCUUUGCGUUUUUCUCCCAGUAUACAGGUAUAUUCAUCAGAGACUGGAAAUCAGUCUCUGAGACUAGCAUGGGUCUUCCUAAAGCACCUCAGACAGGACACUGUCCCCAGGGGCUCCAAGCUUCUUGUUGUCCACCUCUCUCACUCUGAAUGUUCAUACUAAUCAUCAAAAUAAACUGAUCUGCUCCA
Long non-coding RNA from Bubalus bubalis (water buffalo), 1013 nucleotides. RefSeq lists it as uncharacterized. The transcript is spliced from 4 exons. The record is from RefSeq and is a predicted model, not a curated record. Lineage: Eukaryota; Metazoa; Chordata; Mammalia; Artiodactyla; Bovidae.